Molecule: ribosomal RNA, 1321 nt
Filed under: uncultured bacterium
Lineage: Bacteria
Description: 16S ribosomal RNA
Rfam family: Bacterial small subunit ribosomal RNA
Source: RNAcentral
GCCUAAUACAUGCAAGUCGAACGCGUGCAGCGAUGCACGAGUGGCAGACGGGUGAGUAACGCGUGGGAACAUACCCUUUGGUUCGGAACAACUCAGGGAAACUCGAGCUAAGACCGGAUACGCCCAGGGUCGCGAGACACUGGGGAAAGAUUCAUUGCCGAAGGAUUGGCCCGCGUUCGAUUAGCUAGUUGGUGAGGUAACGGCUCACCAAGGCGACGAUCGAUAGCUGGUCUGAGAGGAUGAUCAGCCACAUUGGGACUGAGACACGGCCCAAACUCCUACGGGAGGCAGCAGUGGGGAAUAUUGGACAAUGGGCGCAAGCCUGAUCCAGCCAUGCCGCGUGAGUGAUGACGGCCUUAGGGUUGUAAAGCUCUUUCGCACGCGACGAUAAUGACGGUAGCGUGAGAAGAAGCCCCGGCUAACUUCGUGCCAGCAGCCGCGGUAAUACGAAGGGGGCUAGCGUUGUUCGGAAUCACUGGGCGUAAAGCGCACGUAGGCGGAUUGUUGAGUCAGGGGUGAAAUGCCAAGGCUCAACCUUGGAACUGCCUUUGAUACUGGCAAUCUCGAGUCCGGGAGAGGUGAGUGGAACUGCGAGUGUAGAGGUGAAAUUCGUAGAUAUUCGCAAGAACACCAGUGGCGAAGGCGGCUCACUGGCCCGGAACUGACGCUGAGGUGCGAAAGCGUGGGGAGCAAACAGGAUUAGAUACCCUGGUAGUCCACGCCGUAAACGAUGGAUGCUAGCCGUUGGGCAGCUUGCUGUUUAGUGGCGCAGUUAACGCGUUAAGCAUCCCGCCUGGGGAGUACGGUCGCAAGAUUAAAACUCAAAGGAAUUGACGGGGGCCCGCACAAGCGGUGGAGCAUGUGGUUUAAUUCGAAGCAACGCGAAGAACCUUACCAGCUCUUGACAUGUCUCGUAUGGGGCCGGAGACGGUUUCCUUCAGUUCGGCUGGCGAGAACACAGGUGCUGCACGGCUGUCGUCAGCUCGUGUCGUGAGAUGUUGGGUUAAGUCCCGCAACGAGCGCAACCCUCGCCCUUAGUUGCCAUCAUUCAGUUGGGCCCUCUAGGGGGACUGCCGGUGAUAAGCCGAGAGGAAGGUGGGGAUGGCGUCAAGUCCUCAUGGCCCUUACGGGCUGGGCUACACACGUGCUACAAUGGCGGUGACAAUGGGAUGCUGAGGGGCGACCCCGAGCAAAUCUCAAAAAGCCGUCUCAGUUCGGAUUGCACUCUGCAACUCGAGUGCAUGAAGGUGGAAUCGCUAGUAAUCGUAGAUCAGAACGCUACGGUGAAUACGUUCCCGGGCCUUGCACACACGCCCGUCAC